Molecule: ribosomal RNA, 575 nt
Filed under: Colletotrichum simmondsii
Lineage: Eukaryota; Fungi; Ascomycota; Sordariomycetes; Glomerellales; Glomerellaceae
Description: eukaryotic LSU rRNA
Rfam family: 5.8S ribosomal RNA (bases 204-357)
Source: RNAcentral
GAACCAGCGGAGGGAUCAUUACUGAGUUACCGCUCUAUAACCCUUUGUGAACAUACCUAACCGUUGCUUCGGCGGGCAGGGGAAGCCUCUCGCGGGCCUCCCCUCCCGGCGCCGGCCCCCACCACGGGGACGGGGCGCCCGCCGGAGGAAACCAAACUCUAUUUACACGACGUCUCUUCUGAGUGGCACAAGCAAAUAAUUAAAACUUUUAACAACGGAUCUCUUGGUUCUGGCAUCGAUGAAGAACGCAGCGAAAUGCGAUAAGUAAUGUGAAUUGCAGAAUUCAGUGAAUCAUCGAAUCUUUGAACGCACAUUGCGCUCGCCAGCAUUCUGGCGAGCAUGCCUGUUCGAGCGUCAUUUCAACCCUCAAGCACCGCUUGGUUUUGGGGCCCCACGGCACACGUGGGCCCUUAAAGGUAGUGGCGGACCCUCCCGGAGCCUCCUUUGCGUAGUAACUAACGUCUCGCACUGGGAUUCGGAGGGACUCUUGCCGUAAAACCCCCAAAUUUUUUACAGGUUGACCUCGGAUCAGGUAGGAAUACCCGCUGAACUUAAGCAUAUCAAUAAGCGGAGGA